CCCUCACCUGGGCACCGCCCGGAGCCGCACGCGGGGCCGGCAGCUCUGACGGAUCCCAGCCCCUCCCCCGGAAGGAAUGGAGGGAGCCCCUUCCCACCUGAGCACAGACCUGACGACCCCGGACCUGAGGAAGGCUCUCACCCCCCGCGGCACUGAGGACGCCGACACCGCCGUCAUCGCGGGUGAGGCCCU
Long non-coding RNA from Corapipo altera (White-ruffed manakin), 192 nucleotides. RefSeq lists it as uncharacterized. The record is from RefSeq and is a predicted model, not a curated record. The transcript is spliced from 3 exons. Lineage: Eukaryota; Metazoa; Chordata; Aves; Passeriformes; Pipridae.